Ipomoea nil (Japanese morning glory) is the source of this 92-nucleotide long non-coding RNA. RefSeq lists it as uncharacterized. Lineage: Eukaryota; Viridiplantae; Streptophyta; Magnoliopsida; Solanales; Convolvulaceae. The record is from RefSeq and is a predicted model, not a curated record. The transcript is spliced from 3 exons.
UAUGAUUUCUGAAUUUCUGAUGUUGAGGCAAUGAGGCUUGGUAACUUCAAACUUGUAAGUUGCUGCCCUUGAUGAGUUUUUGGCCCCUAACC